This 505-nucleotide ribosomal RNA is filed under the name uncultured bacterium. RNAcentral describes it as "bacterial SSU rRNA". It matches the Rfam family "Bacterial small subunit ribosomal RNA", at positions 29 to 531 of the family's 1533-position model. The record is from RNAcentral.
AAUAAACGCUGGCGGCGUGCCUAACACAUGCAAGUCGAGCGAGAAAGCUCCUUCGGGAGUUAGUAAAGCGGCGAACGGGUGAGCAACACGUGAGAAUCUACCCUUUAGUGAAGAAUACCCUCGAGAAAUCGAGGCUAAUACUGCAUACGUCCCUUCGGGGAGAAAGAUGGCCUCUUUGCUAUCGCUAAAGGAUGAGCUUGCGUACUAUUAGCUAGUUGGCGGGGUAAAGGCCCACCAAGGCAAUGAUGGUUAACCGGCCUGAGAGGGUGUACGGUCACACUGGAACUUAGACACGGUCCAGACUCCUACGGGAGGCAGCAGUGAGGAAUCUUGCGCAAUGGGCGAAAGCCUGACGCAGCGACGCCGCGUGGAGGAUGACGGUUUUCGGAUUGUAAACUCCUGUUAAGCGGGAAGAAAGCCUUGUUUCUAAUACAAGCAAGGUAUGACGGUACCGCUAGAGAAAGCACCGGCUAACUUCGUGCCAGCAGCCGCGGUAAAGUGCGCG